ACUUUGCACGGGACAAUGGUUAUAUGUUCCUCCUUUUGGAAGGGCAGAUUAGAACAUGAUUUUUGGAGUUCACAUGAUAUGUGAGUAAGGUCUCUGAGUAAUCAGGACAUGCAACACCAUGACUGCUUCUGAU
Molecule: small nucleolar RNA, 133 nt
Organism: Prolemur simus (greater bamboo lemur)
Lineage: Eukaryota; Metazoa; Chordata; Mammalia; Primates; Lemuridae
Gene: U8
Rfam family: U8 small nucleolar RNA
About the family: U8 is a member of the C/D class of snoRNA which contain the C (UGAUGA) and D (CUGA) box motifs. U8 is the RNA component of a small complex (the U8 snoRNP) which is required for accumulation of mature large subunit ribosomal RNAs, 5.8S and 28S rRNAs.
Source: Ensembl